Molecule: ribosomal RNA, 497 nt
Filed under: uncultured bacterium
Lineage: Bacteria
Description: partial 16S ribosomal RNA
Rfam family: Bacterial small subunit ribosomal RNA
Source: RNAcentral
GACGAACGCUGGCGGCGUGCCUAAUACAUGCAAGUUGAGCGCUGAAGGUUGGUACUUGUACCAACUGGAUGAGCAGCGAACGGGUGAGUAACGCGUGGGGAAUCUGCCUUUGAGCGGGGGACAACAUUUGGAAACGAAUGCUAAUACCGCAUAAAAACUUUAAACACAAGUUUUAAGUUUGAAAGAUGCAAUUGCAUCACUCAAAGAUGAUCCCGCGUUGUAUUAGCUAGGUGGUGAGGGAAAGGCUCACCAAGGCGAUGAUACAUAGCAGACCUGAGAGGGUGAUCGGCCACAUUGGGACUGAGACACGGCCCAACCUACUACGGGAGGCAGCAGUAGGGAAUCUUCGGAGAUGGACGAAAGUCUGACCGAGCAACGCCGCGUGAGUGAAGAAGGGUUUCGGAUCGUAAAACUCUGUUGGUAGAGAAGAACGUUGGUGAGAGUGGAAAGCUCAUCAAGUGACGGUAACUACCCAGAAAGGUACGGCUAACUACGUG